UAUGAAGGUCAGGCUGAAGACCUUACCCGAUUAGCUGAGAGGUGGUGCAUGGCCGUCGUCAGUUCGUACUGUGAAGCAUCCUGUUAAGUCAGGCAACGAGCGAGACCCACGUCCACAGUUGCCAGCAUACCCCUCCGGGGUGAUGGGUACACUGUGGAGACCGCCGCUGCUAAAGCGGAGGAAGGAGUGGGCAACGGUAGGUCAGUAUGCCCCGAAUCUCCCGGGCUACACGCGGGCUACAAUGGUUGGUACAAUGGGCAUCUACCCCGAAAGGGGAAGGAAAUCUCUUAAAGCCAAUCGUAGUUCGGAUUGAGGGCUGCAACUCGCCCUCAUGAAGCUGGAAUCCGUAGUAAUCGCGUUUCAACAGAACGCGGUGAAUACGUCCCUGCUCCUU
This 394-nucleotide ribosomal RNA is filed under the name uncultured Methanosaeta sp. RNAcentral's name for it is "bacterial SSU rRNA". It matches the Rfam family "Archaeal small subunit ribosomal RNA", at positions 946 to 1338 of the family's 1478-position model. Lineage: Archaea; Methanobacteriati; Methanobacteriota; Methanomicrobia; Methanotrichales; Methanotrichaceae. The record is from RNAcentral.